This 497-nucleotide ribosomal RNA is filed under the name uncultured bacterium. RNAcentral's name for it is "partial 16S ribosomal RNA". It matches the Rfam family "Bacterial small subunit ribosomal RNA", at positions 28 to 507 of the family's 1533-position model. The record is from RNAcentral.
GAUGAACGCUGGCGGCGUGCCUAAUACAUGCAAGUCGAGCGAACAGACGAGGAGCUUGCUCCUCUGACGUUAGCGGCGGACGGGUGAGUAACACGUGGAUAACCUACCUAUAAGACUGGGAUAACUUCUGGAAACCUGAGCUAAUACCGGAUAAUAUAUUGAACCGCAUGGUUCAAUAGUGAAAGACGGUUUUGCUGUCACUUAUAGAUGGAUCCGCGCCGCAUUAGCUAGUUGGUAAGGUAACGGCUUACCAAGGCAACGAUGCGUAGCCGACCUGAGAGGGUGAGCGGCCACACCGGAACUGAGGCACGGUCCAGACUCCUACGGGAGGCAGCAGUAGGGAAUCUUCCGCAAUGGGCGAAAGCCUGACGGAGCAGCGCCGCGUGAGUGAUGAAGCUCUUCGGAUCGUAAAACUCUGUUAUUAGGGAGGAACAAAUGUGUAAGUAACUAUGCACGUCUUGACGGUACCUAAUCAGAAAGCAACGGCUAACUACGUG